Molecule: long non-coding RNA, 808 nt
Organism: Sinocyclocheilus anshuiensis
Lineage: Eukaryota; Metazoa; Chordata; Actinopteri; Cypriniformes; Cyprinidae
Exons: 3
Source: RefSeq, a predicted model, not a curated record
CCUUUCUUUCUAAAGAAGCUCCAAGGAGGAAGGCUGGUGGUGGACAUGGUGAAAAUGACAGAGAAAAAGUGCCUCAAAUUGCAUUGCUGGAACUUACCAGGCUACCCAUAGAGGAAAUACACACACUGAAGCACUCCUCAAAUUGCAACAGAUGGGGCCCCCAUCUAAGGUGUGAGUGUUCUGUGCCAGAAUAACCAACUUGAGAAGCAAAGAGUGAGUUUACCAUGGCAAGCCCAUGCAGUGAACCUACAAAAAGUCAACAGUACUGAAUUAUGGCCACCGCCGCAGAGCUGCGUGAGGUGAACCUCCACUAAACUCUAUUGUGAUUUCUUGGGGAAACUGAUGUAAAUGAACCAAAACAAGACAAUUUGCAAUACAAACUGUUAUUCAAACCUGCAGACAUUAAUUUUUAUGCAAAAUUAAAGAAUUUUGCUAUUCGAAUAUGCAGGUCUUUAGUAGGCCUGUUAUGCUUAGUUUUAAUUUCACAGUCAAGACCAUAAAGGUUUGUUGAGAUUUGCGUGGGUGAGGAUUGAUUGUUCCUGUGAGGUAAGUGGAAGUUUCCUGAAAGCUACGAAUCCUUGACCCAUAACCCCUUCACCCACUCAUUUAGACCAGUCACACGCAUAUUCACACACAGGCACGCAUUAAUUUAAAGGAAUUUUAUUUUUUUUAAAUACAUGUAAUGCCUCUCCCACUCUCUCCUCCAGCACACCCAUAUGUGCGCCAAAGACUAUGACACCCAAAGGAGUAAAGGCUGAUUUAUACUUCUGCGUCGGUCCUACGCCGUAACUUAUGCAUAGACGCACAC